GUUCUCCUGAGCAGUACAUACCCUGAAAGGGGAACAAUACAGAGACUAGCAUGGGCCCUGUGAAAGCAUGACACACAAAUCAGUGAAGCGGUCCAGAGUUUU
Small nuclear RNA from Peromyscus leucopus (white-footed mouse), 102 nucleotides. The record is from RefSeq and is a predicted model, not a curated record. NCBI's taxonomy places the organism in Eukaryota, Metazoa, Chordata, Mammalia, Rodentia, Cricetidae.